AAAAAGAAAAAUCCUGGGUUUCCAUGUCCAACGUUUGACUGUCCGUCUUAUAUAAAUUUUUUUUAUAAUUAGUAUUUUUAUUGUUGUUAGAUGAUAAAACAUGAUUAAUGUUUUAUGCGUGACUUAUUUUUUUUAAUUUUUUUCAUAAUUUUUUAAAAUAAUAUAGGCGAUCAAACGUCGAAUACGAAAACCCAGGUUUAUUAUUAUA
Molecule: microRNA precursor, 208 nt
Organism: Oryza sativa Indica Group (long-grained rice)
Lineage: Eukaryota; Viridiplantae; Streptophyta; Magnoliopsida; Poales; Poaceae
Rfam family: MIR812 microRNA precursor family
Source: Rfam